GUCUGCUACCUCAUGUUUGUGCCUUCCCGCAGGAGUAAAAAUUUGCCUUGUCAAGAACUCCUGUGCCUUGUCUGAGUGCAUUCUUUUGGACACAGAAAAUUUGAGUCUGGGGGCUUAUUUCCAACAGGAAUAUAUGUAAAGUGAGGUCUGUAACUUUCCACGGAGUCAUCUGGAGUGAGAAAGUAAAACAAUGAACAUUCCAAAAGGCACCUUAUAAGUUAUUUACAAUACCCUCCACAGGCAAGAAGUUGUAAGAAUGAUGGACCUCAUUUUUAACAAGAGCAAAUAAGUCAUGUCCAUGUUUUAUGACUUACUCAUGCUACAGAUCAGUAACAACCAAGGAAGCAAAUUGGCAGUCACAUAACUACUUGCAGAUCCUGAAAAUUCCAAACCCAGUGGCAAGCAUAGUAAUAAAUCACUGAGAAUUAAAAACAUUUUUCCUUCAAAUAUUCCCAAAAUGGAAUUUUCCUUAAAUAAAAUCAUUAUUUUCUGAGAGAAAAAUUGGACUGAAGAAAAAAGUUUUGUUUCAGAUAACAGUUUUAUUUCUGUAUGUAUGUUUUUCAAAUUAUCUAUGUAUAUUUUCAUUCAUUUAAAUAGGCAAUGUGUUCACUAAUAAAACGGAAUCGUAAAGCACAAAAUGUAUAUAGUAAACAUGUCUUCACCAUACCCCUUGUCUCCUAUUUUUAUCCAGAGCCAAUCAGUUGCUGGUUUCUUCACUGAUAAGAUGUUUUUUCUAUCUAUACAUACAUUUUCCUUUGUUUGAAGUACUCAAAUACUUUUGAGUUUGAGCUCAAAGGAUCCAGCUGCUAAAAGCAGGGUGACAUAAGAAUAAUAUGUGUAUUCCUUUUCAGAGAAAAUCUUUAAUCUGAGACAGUUAUCUUGCUUUAAAAAAGAAGCAGUUUUUUUCAGCCAGAGCUGGCAGUACAUGCAUGGAACACAUAAAUAUUUAAAGAAACAGCAAAAGCUGUAAAGUAAAAAUAAUGAUAUUGGCUGAACUCACAUACUAUAUCUUAUGUAUAAUAUUAGGUUCUUGUUUCAAAAUUAUUCUGGAAAGUUUUUAUAGAGGCC
Molecule: long non-coding RNA, 1068 nt
Filed under: Heterocephalus glaber (naked mole-rat)
Lineage: Eukaryota; Metazoa; Chordata; Mammalia; Rodentia; Bathyergidae
Description: lncRNA (ENSHGLG00000033189.1)
Source: RNAcentral